This is a long non-coding RNA of Marmota flaviventris (yellow-bellied marmot), 774 nucleotides long. RefSeq lists it as uncharacterized. Lineage: Eukaryota; Metazoa; Chordata; Mammalia; Rodentia; Sciuridae. The record is from RefSeq and is a predicted model, not a curated record.
UCCGGCCGCGUCUGUGGCUUGGGGGCCUUCCCACGCUGUGUCCCAGCGGCGCGAUGGGGCCAGCUGCUGCGGGCCGCGCUUUUGACCGGGCUGGACGUCUGCCUGGGCACCUCGCGACACCAGGAAUUGGCGGCCCGCCUGCACAGGCGGUUCGGGUUCCGCGGCGCCACCCGCGGGUGCCGGUCACGGCAGAGCGAUAGCGGAGCAGGCUUGUGUUCCGGAGGCUAGAACCUCGAGAAUUCCGAGAACUCCCCAGCAGGGCAGCCGCCAUGACCCGGCCAGCCGGCGUGGACAUCACUAUUAUUUUUAUUAUGAACACCACCUUCAGAAAUUGGUUACCUGAAAUUGAUUGAAACCAUGAAAUUUUAACAAGCUGGCAUGCUGGGUAAUUCCCGGUGCUUACAGAAUAUACAAUAUUAAGUUGAAGUCAACUGAUUAGAACUUCGGAUUUGCUCAUUAAAAAACCAUAAAAUGUAAGCAAGACAGACUGGGCUUUCUUCAGCUGUUCCUGGAUGCCUAGUCAGCAGGAGACAGCUCACGGAAGAGCCCACCAGCCACACAGCACCAGCUCCCUGCCUUUGCCCACCUCAGAAUCCUGCUCCAUCAGAACAAAUGAGCAGACACCAGGGGAGCCCUCUAUCCCCAUCCCCAGACAUGUAGCUUGCAGUCUGAAAGGCCCCGGUCCUCUAGGCAGCCAGCUUCACACACAGGGCAACCCUCUCCCACCCUCUUUUGUUUGGGCUAAAGAAAACAAUAAACUUUUAAUACUCUGUA